Molecule: ribosomal RNA, 253 nt
Filed under: uncultured bacterium
Lineage: Bacteria
Description: partial 16S ribosomal RNA
Rfam family: Bacterial small subunit ribosomal RNA
Source: RNAcentral
UACGUAGGGGGCGAGCGUUGUCCGGAUUUAUUGGGCGUAAAGAGCGUGUAGGCGGUUCGGUAAGUCUGUCGUGAAAUCCUGAGGCUCAACCUCGGGCGUGCGAUGGAUACUGCCGGGCUAGAGGGUGGUAGAGGCGAGUGGAAUUCCCGGUGUAGCGGUGAAAUGCGCAGAUAUCGGGAGGAACACCAGCGGCGAAGGCGGCACUCUGGGCUGGAACUGACGCUGAGGAGCGAAAGCGUGGGUAGCAAACAGG